CCCUUAGAUGUUCUGGGCCGCACGCGCGCUACACUGACUACUUCAACGAGUUGUUUCCUUGAUCGAAAGGUCUGGGUAAUCUUUGAAAGGUAGUCGUGAUGGGGAUAGAUCCUUGCAAUUUUUGAUCUUCAACGAGGAAUUCCUAGUAAACGCAAGUCAUCAGCUUGCAUUGAUUACGUCCCUGCCCUUUGUACACACCGCCCGCCGCACCUACCGAUUGAAUGGUCCGGUGAAUCUUUAGGACUGUGGCUGAGGCCUUGCCUUGUGCGGGUCUGGCCGUGGGAAUUUAGUUAAACCUUACCAUUUAGAGGAAGGUGAAGUCGUAACA
Molecule: ribosomal RNA, 328 nt
Filed under: uncultured eukaryote
Lineage: Eukaryota
Description: partial 18S ribosomal RNA
Rfam family: Eukaryotic small subunit ribosomal RNA
Source: RNAcentral